UACGUAGGGGGCAAGCGUUAUCCGGAUUUACUGGGUGUAAAGGGAGCGUAGACGGCAUGGCAGGCCAGAUGUGAAAUACCGGGGCUCAACCCCGGGACUGCAUUUGGAACUGUUAAGCUGGAGUGUCGGAGAGGCAGGCGGAAUUCCUAGUGUAGCGGUGAAAUGCGUAGAUAUUAGGAGGAACACCAGUGGCGAAGGCGGCCUGCUGGACGAUAACUGACGUUGAGGCUCGAAAGCGUGGGGAGCAAACAGG
RNAcentral lists this ribosomal RNA (253 nucleotides) under uncultured bacterium. RNAcentral describes it as "partial 16S ribosomal RNA". It matches the Rfam family "Bacterial small subunit ribosomal RNA", at positions 524 to 776 of the family's 1533-position model. The record is from RNAcentral.